Molecule: ribosomal RNA, 457 nt
Filed under: Triticum aestivum (bread wheat)
Lineage: Eukaryota; Viridiplantae; Streptophyta; Magnoliopsida; Poales; Poaceae
Description: partial small subunit ribosomal RNA
Source: RNAcentral
UUGCAGUCAUGAGCAUCAGCUCGAUUUGCAUAUACUACAAGAGUACGUACGGCGUAUUACAACCAGCCAUUCAAAUCUUGAUGCACAUAAAGGCCGAAAGCACAGACAUUCCCCUCGUUCUUACUACCCUUGUCCAGCACGCUGGCUUCUUUCUCCUACUCUUCGUCUUCUUCGUCGGCAGUUUCUUCUUUCGCAUUGCCAUUUCUUUCUUCUUCUUCUUCAUUGCCUUUUCUUUCUUCUUCUUCCUGGCCGCCUUGUCGUUGUCACUGAGUAUCACGGUGACCAGCUGCUCGAUGUAGCAUGUGCACAGGGCGAAAUUUGCUGACAUGUCCAACAUAGCCAAUUUGGUGGAGUUCAGAUGGCGUGAUGACAUUCAGGAAGAAACGAGGAAUGUUAGUUGUUUCCUGGAGCUCAGGAUCAGAAACGAGCGGAAACAUGCAAGGGGAGAGGAAAAACC